AUGUUCACUCCUGGGCACCCGGGGAAGUGGAAGCGCCGGGCCCUGCUGCGGGGGGGAGAGCCACUGACGCCGGGACCGGGACCGCCGCCGCCGCCGCCACCAUGGUCCCCAGUCUAUGUGAGGAUCUCCUGUCUUCUGUCGACCAGCCACUAAAAAUUGCCAGAGACAAGGUGGUGGGAAAGGAUUACCUUUUGUGUGACUACAACAGAGAUGGGGACUCCUAUAGGUCACCAUGGAGUAACAAGUAUGACCCUCCCUUGGAGGAUGGGGCCAUGCCGUCGGCUCGGCUGAGAAAGCUGGAGGUGGAAGCCAACAAUGCCUUUGACCAGUAUCGAGACCUGUAUUUUGAAGGCGGCGUCUCAUCUGUCUACCUCUGGGAUCUGGAUCAUGGCUUUGCUGGAGUGAUCCUCAUAAAGAAGGCUGGAGAUGGAUCAAAGAAGAUCAAAGGCUGCUGGGAUUCCAUCCACGUGGUAGAAGUGCAGGAGAAAUCCAGCGGUCGCACCGCCCAUUACAAGUUGACCUCCACGGUGAUGCUGUGGCUGCAGACCAACAAAUCUGGCUCUGGCACCAUGAACCUCG
This 579-nucleotide small RNA is filed under the name Pan troglodytes (chimpanzee). RNAcentral's name for it is "processed transcript". The record is from RNAcentral. Lineage: Eukaryota; Metazoa; Chordata; Mammalia; Primates; Hominidae.